UUCGCCUCGCCGAGGAAUAAGUCCGCCAAGGAGGCCCUAAGGCCGCCGUCCACGCCUACACAUAGCCUCGAUCCUCGAUGUCCACGACGCCCUUGACCGGAGCUUCGACGCCUAAAUCCAGAACAUCGCUGCCGUGGACAGCCUCUUCUUCGACCUAUCCUCAAGCUCAGUGCCGUUUGAGGAGGAUAACAAGGAUCCGAGGAUCUGGUUCCAUGUCCAUAAUUACCAUGAGUGUAUGUUCUCCAUAUUAAAGAGGAUCAACGAUAUGCUGUUUAAGAAUUCACACAUAUGCUGCCUGUGCAGCUGUUUCUGUUGUACUGAUGACAUUUCUUGGGAUGCAACAAACGAGCUUGUUGUUGGCUGGCACGUCACUGGUCCAAACCUAAAGGACUAAAGAGGUCUAAAUUAAUGUGCAUGUUGGUUCAUUGAUCCUUGACAAAUGUUUUGUUUUUUCAGCGGUGGUUUAUGUGGUCAAGUGGUAAACUGGACGGGUCAAGUCUUUUCGAAGUUGUGAAAUUAUAGUGUAACAAAUAGAAUGAAUAGAACUUGCUGGCAUCCAUGUUUCAGCGAGACAAGGAGGAAUUGAUGACAUGAAGAAGCAUCUGGCUUUUGGUGUAAAAUUCAACAUAAGAGACAGUGAAGAGAACUCCAUUGUGCUGGCUGUCAAAAUGUCGUCGAGGUUCUUGUUAAUUCAAAUGCAGACGUCAAUCCUCAGGUAUGUGAUUUUAUUUGCACACUUCACUCAUUGAAAUAAAAAAUUCUUGGAUCUUUAGUUUGGUUAGUGUAUUUGAGCAUAUGAAACUGGUUGUAUCUCCGGCCAAUUAUUUCAGUGGGUUUCCAUGAUAAACUGCAUCAAAUGAGCAAAACGUUGGAUAUAUCCAUACUAACUAGAACACUUUAGGCAAGUUAUCAGCUUGCCAGGUUGGUGAAUUGACAUACUAGGUGACUUGUCAAGUCGUCAGUUCAUAACUUGAUAUCUUGCAGAGCGUAGAGCGCAGAAAGUUAUGGACCUUUUUUUUAUUCCCCUGAGAUUGUGCCUUGCAGUGACUGGAUUAAGAUAAUGAUCGAUGGCUAUUUCUAUAAUCAUUAGCCCAUCAUAUCUUAACACUUGACAUCUCAUCUAAUACUUUUAUGAUAUUAAAGUUUAUUACAAGGUUUGCACCUUCUAGCUGUCAAU
Molecule: long non-coding RNA, 1177 nt
Organism: Lolium rigidum
Lineage: Eukaryota; Viridiplantae; Streptophyta; Magnoliopsida; Poales; Poaceae
Exons: 4
Source: RefSeq, a predicted model, not a curated record